AUGAAAAGUUGCUGCUGCUGCUGUUGUCAAACUAUUGCUGCUGCUGCUGCUGCUGCUCUGAAACUACUGCUGCUGCUGCUGCCAUACUCCACCUGCAGAAGAACCCAGCAGCUGUUGUUGCUGCUGCUGAUCAGUAUGACUCUAAACUCUGUUGUUGCUGCUGUUGCAGGAGAAGGAGCACGCCCAGGAGAAGAAGGAUCGGGAGAAGGCCCUGAGGACCUGGGAUCGCUGCUGCUAGAUCUGGAUCUGGGACCUGGGACUGCUGCUGCCGCGUGCUCCUUCUGGGAGACGAGGACCCUCCUUGGCGCCCCUGGAUCGCUGCUGCUGGACGCCCCUGGAUCGCUGCUGCUGGAGAUGAGGACCUGGGCCUGGGAGCGCUGA
This 381-nucleotide ribosomal RNA is filed under the name Triticum aestivum (bread wheat). RNAcentral's name for it is "partial small subunit ribosomal RNA". Lineage: Eukaryota; Viridiplantae; Streptophyta; Magnoliopsida; Poales; Poaceae. The record is from RNAcentral.